GGCCGGCUCUCCUCGUGCGGCGGCGGCAGAGAAGCGAGCGCAGCGGCCAGCAGCACAUUCCCGCGCCACCGUCGCCGCAGUCGCCACAGCCGCCGCCGCCGCCGCCGCCGCCCCCCGCCUCGCCGGCCUGCCAGUGAGAGAGCGGCCAGCGGCCUCCCGCUAGGCCCCCUGAGGCGGGCGCCCGGCCGGACCCUGAGCCUAGUCCUCUCGCGCUGCGGCCGCCCGCGCCUCCUCGGCCGCCUGUCGGGCAUGAAAACCAAAUUCUGCACCGGGGGCGAGGCGGAGCCCUCGCCGCUCGGGCUGCUGCUGAGCUGCGGUAGCGGCAGCGCGGUCCCGGCGCCCGGCGUGGGGCAGCAGCGCGACGCCGCCAGCGACCUCGAGUCCAAGCAGCUGGGCGGCCAACAGCCGCCGCUCGCGCUGCCCCCUCCGCCGCCGCUGCCGCUGCCCCAGCCCCCGCCGCCGCAGCCGCCCGCAGACGAGCAGCCGGAGCCCCGGACGCGGCGCAGGGCCUAUCUGUGGUGCAAGGAGUUCCUGCCCGGCGCCUGGCGGGGCCUCCGCGAGGACGAGUUCCACAUCAGUGUCAUCAGAGGCGGCCUUAGCAACAUGCUGUUCCAGUGCUCCCUACCUGACACCACAGCCACCCUUGGCGAUGAGCCUCGGAAAGUGCUCCUGCGGCUGUAUGGAGCGAUUUUGCAGAUGAGGUCCUGUAAUAAAGAGGGAUCCGAACAAGCUCAGAAAGAAAAUGAAUUUCAAGGGGCCGAGGCCAUGGUUCUGGAGAGCGUUAUGUUUGCCAUUCUCGCAGAGAGGUCACUUGGGCCAAAACUCUAUGGCAUCUUUCCCCAAGGCCGACUGGAGCAGUUCAUCCCGAGCCGGCGAUUAGAUACUGAAGAAUUAAGUUUGCCAGAUAUUUCUGCAGAAAUCGCCGAGAAAAUGGCUACAUUUCAUGGUAUGAAAAUGCCAUUCAAUAAGGAACCAAAAUGGCUUUUUGGCACAAUGGAAAAGUAUCUAAAGGAAGUACUGAGAAUUAAAUUUACUGAGGAAUCCAGCAUUAAAAAGCUCCACAGAUUGCUCAGUUACAAUCUGCCCUUGGAACUGGAAAACCUGAGAUCAUUGCUUGAAUCUACUCCAUCUCCAGUUGUAUUUUGUCAUAAUGACUGUCAAGAAGGUAAUAUCUUGUUGCUGGAAGGCCGAGAGAAUUCUGAAAAACAGAAACUGAUGCUCAUUGAUUUCGAAUACAGCAGUUACAAUUACAGGGGAUUCGACAUUGGAAAUCACUUCUGUGAGUGGAUGUAUGAUUAUAGCUAUGAAAAAUACCCUUUUUUCAGAGCAAACAUCCGGAAGUAUCCCACCAAGAAACAACAGCUCCAUUUUAUUUCCAGUUACUUGCCUGCAUUCCAAAAUGACUUUGAAAACCUCAGUACUGAAGAAAAAUCCAUUAUAAAAGAAGAAAUGUUGCUUGAAGUCAAUAGGUUUGCCCUUGCAUCUCAUUUCCUCUGGGGACUUUGGUCCAUUGUACAAGCCAAGAUUUCGUCUAUUGAAUUUGGGUACAUGUACCUGAAUGUGGUGACCUGGUGGCAUCAGGACAGUGUGGCUCAGCCCAGGAAGCCGGGGGAGAAGCCGCUGUCACUGAUGCCGUGGUUGCCUUUGGAGGUUGCCCUCACUUCCAGGCCAGCUGACCUUGCCUCCCCUGCUUCAGAGAAGUGCCUGCAAUCCUGAUGGGGAAUGUAGGCAUCUGCACCCUCGAAGUCCAGCUCUGACCUCAGUCCCUUCUGACAUGGGACAGACUACGCCCAAGCAAGGUUUGAUGCCUAUUUCCACCAGAAGAGGAAGCUUGGGGUGUGACUGUGGGGAGGACUCCAUCCACCUCAUCACUGGACUGCAUGGGGAGGCAGCAGAGCGGGGUCCCCUCUGUGCUUCGACUACUGCUCCUGUGGCAGGAGGCUUUGGGUGGCUCACUACUGAACACGUGUGUAUGAUACUAAAGACGGUAUUAAAAUGGAGCGACGUUUAUUUCAUCUCUUGUUUACGAUUUCACUAGGACUCAGAAACGAGAUCGGGAAGCAGAAAUAUAGUGCAAUAGUGCAACAUCUCUGAAUCCUUUUAAUCUAGAGAAGGCGUUUCAUAUUUGGGGGCUAAGGUUUCCAGUCAGAUGAGGCAAACAGCAAGAGUAAGCAGUGUUACUUGCAGGUACUUUGGUUAAUGUUGAUUUAAAUUUUCUUUUCAUGAAUGUGCUGAUGAACACUGUGACCAGGCUUUUGUAGAUGGCGAUGUGUUAUAGACGGUGCUCACUCCCAAGGGACAGCAAGUGAGCAGAGAUGUACUGCGAAGUCGCCAGUCACUGCUGCAAGGUGGCCUCUGCCUGGGGCCUCCGGAAGCUGCUCCUCUACCCUCUUGGUCCCAUGGCUGAAGCUGGAGCAGCGGAUUGCUCUGGAGCAGCCAAGGCCACCUGCGUGUGGAGCAGAGCUCUCCCCUCCUGCUGGGCGUGUGUGACACUGAUGAGUUUCACUGUACUGCAUGUGACUUCUCCCCUGCCCUUCCUCCUGAUGGAGUGUGCAGACAGCCAUGCGUGGCCACGGGGGCAGUGUGAGGACCUCCCUGUCUCCCGGCUCCCCUCCCAGGGGAGCCAGCUGCUUGACCUGGCUCUUUGGGCCUCUCCUGCCCUCUGCUGUGCCUGGAGUGUCGGAUCCUGUGAGUAGGCUGGGCCGCCCCUGGGCAGGGUUCUCCGAGGGCCCGGUUUCCCGGCCCUUACCUUUCCUGAUGCCCCUGACAUCAUCAUUCUUGUGGGAGACAGCAGCCUGUAUGUGGUGUGGGGCGUGGAUCGAGUGUAGCUGUGAAAUCCAUAUAUAUGAAAUGUCCCGCGGGAUACAGUCUUAGCUGACUUUUUUUUUACUCUGAACUCUUAUUUGAAUUGCUUUUUGUGCAUAUAUUUCUGCUACCACAGAGAUUGUACUAUACAAAUAAAAAAAUAAAAACCCAACCUCAA
Gorilla gorilla gorilla (western lowland gorilla) is the source of this 2983-nucleotide RNA transcript. It is a transcript of the gene named choline kinase alpha, with no coding region annotated. NCBI's taxonomy places the organism in Eukaryota, Metazoa, Chordata, Mammalia, Primates, Hominidae. The record is from RefSeq and is a predicted model, not a curated record. The transcript is spliced from 13 exons.